This 301-nucleotide ribosomal RNA is filed under the name uncultured bacterium. RNAcentral describes it as "partial 16S ribosomal RNA". It matches the Rfam family "Bacterial small subunit ribosomal RNA", at positions 509 to 809 of the family's 1533-position model. The record is from RNAcentral.
CAGUAGCCGCGGGAAUACGGAGGGUGCAAGCGUUAAUCGGAAUUACUGGGCGUAAAGCGCACGCAGGCGGUCUGUCGAGUCAAAUGUGAAAUCCCCGGGCUUAACCUGGGAACUGCAUUUGAAACUGGCAGGCUAGAGUCUUGUAGAGGGGGGUAGAAUUCCAGGUGUAGCGGUGAAAUGCGUAGAGAUCUGGAGGAAUACCGGUGGCGAAGGCGGCCCCCUGGACAAAGACUGACGCUCAGGUGCGAAAGCGUGGGGAGCAAACAGGAUUAGAUACCCGGGUAGUCCCUGUCUCUUAUAA